UUUCAAAUUUGAAAUUUCAAAUCUCAAAUCUCAUUGUUCAAAUUUCAAAUUUUGAACUUUAAAUUUAAAAUUUAUUUUUUAAAUUUAAAAUUUAAAAUUCUAAAUUCUAAAUAUAAAAUAUAAAAUUUUUAUUUUAAAAUUUUAAAUUUCAAAAUUUUAAAAUUAAAUUUAGAUUUUUAUUUUUAAAAUUUUUAAUUUUAAAAUUUAAAAUUACACAUUUCACAUAUCAAAUUUUAAAUUUUAAAUUUCAUUGAAAUUUGAAAUUUAAAAUUUAGAGAAAUUUCGUGAAAUUGCACAAUGCGCAUCCAAACAGUUUAAAAAUUGAAUCCGCGGAAUCUUUUUAGAGUUACAGGAUUUCCUAUUUCAUUGGACCAAAGGUCCAAAACCACAGUUUAUAAAUUUUCGUGGAGAAUUUUUGCUGUACAUCCAAAUAGGCCCUAAGGUGUAGAUCAGAUGGUACUAUUUUCUGUCAGUAAUUAAUUUAAGAGACGUUUUUAAUUUGCUAGUUAUUUUAUAUAAUGUAUUCAUUCAUGUAUGUGACUUCUUCGUUUGAUUGGGGAUUAAGUAAGAACUUGUUAUUCCAGAGAUAGGAUUAAGUUCAGGAUUAAGGUGGGGUUAGAAUAAUUUUGUGUUUGGUUGAGAAUUGAGUUUAGUUUAGGUAUAAGUAAAAUAGUAUUUGAUUGGAGUAGGUGGAAUAAGAAGGACAUUGGUUUGUUAUAAAUAGAAAAUAAUGAUAUUGCCCCAAUUAUUAUAUAUAAAUUUAAAUUUUAAAUUUAAAUAAUUAAAAAUAAUAAUUUAAAAUUU
RNAcentral lists this long non-coding RNA (804 nucleotides) under Ananas comosus (pineapple). Its description in RNAcentral is "long non-coding RNA (ACOM_LNC040781)". The record is from RNAcentral. Lineage: Eukaryota; Viridiplantae; Streptophyta; Magnoliopsida; Poales; Bromeliaceae.